UACGGGGGGAGCAAGCGUUGUUCGGAUUUACUGGGCGUAAAGGGCGCGUAGGCGGCCUCCGCAAGUCGACUGUGAAAUCUCCGGGCUUAACCCGGAAAGGUCAGCCGAUACUGCGGGGCUAGAGUGCGGAAGGGGCAACUGGAAUUCUUGGUGUAGCGGUGAAAUGCGUAGAUAUCAAGAGGAACACCUGCGGCGAAGGCGGGUUGCUGGGCCGACACUGACGCUGAAGCGCGAAAGCUAGGGAAGCGAACGGG
This 254-nucleotide ribosomal RNA is filed under the name uncultured bacterium. Its description in RNAcentral is "partial 16S ribosomal RNA". It matches the Rfam family "Bacterial small subunit ribosomal RNA", at positions 524 to 776 of the family's 1533-position model. The record is from RNAcentral.